CUGGAGACACUAUCCUCUUCACUCAAAAUAUCGGCACACACAUACACCCAAUCGCACACACACGCGCAAUCCUCUCCCUUCACAGCUUACUCAAAAUCGCACACUAAUCCGUACAUACCUAAAAAAAAAAUAGAGCCGAUUGAGAGAGAGGGUGACGAAUAGAGAGAGAUAUAGUUAUUUUGGUUUUGGAUUAUUGUUUUGGCGACACAGUCGUCGAAUUUAGACAUUUUCCGUCAGCUUAUUCCCUUCACGGCUCACUGGAGCUUAGAUUCAGACUGGUUUUGAGCUCUCAGUUAGACUUCGGAGAUGUUAGUUCUCGUUUGCUCGUCAUUCGUCUUCCGAUAUCGUGCCUUUGAAGGUUUUUGAUAUCGGGACGGUCUGUUUUUCGGUUGCUAUUUUGUUGUGGUUUCAUCGGUCUUCGCUACUAAUUUGAAGAUUAGAAUCUCAUUCGUCUCGAAUCGUUAAUCGCGAUCAAUUUUUGGUCUUCAAUCUUCGAUACCAAAUCUGGGGUUAUCGCAUUUUGGAUUGUUUCUCGAUUGAUUUGGAGAGUCGAGAUUUCGUUGGUAUUCUUCGAGGUUCUUGGACGGGCUCUUAUUUCUCUUAUUAAAUCAAUCGAAAGCUCCUGAGGUCCAAUUCUAACUUUUCUCUUUUUGAUUUUCUCGUGAUUACGAAUGAUUUGUAUGUUUGGGCAUAUUUGAAUCCUCGUUGUUUGUUUGUUUGACGUUGAAUUUAGAGUUGAAAACUUAAUUGAUAAAUUGUGUUUAGAAUUGGCUUAAUCAUUAAGUAGGAAUUUGGAGAGGGAAUCGGAAAUCUAUAAAGGGUGAAUUUUGGCUAAUUUGAUUCGUGGGUUGUUGUUUGACUUAGAAUGCAUUACUCGAACUUUAUGGUAGCAUGUUUUAGGUCGAGAUAGAAUAGACAAAUUUUAAGUUGGAUAGGCAAAAGUAGGAAUCGUGCAUAGUUGAAUGAUUUCAAAUGUUUGUGGAAUAGUUUAUUUUUCUCGCAUUUGAAAAAUGUAUUUAUUCGUCGGGGAAUGCCUCGAGGUCACAUUGUACUUAUUCAUCAGGGAAUGCCCCGACGUAUUAUGUACUCGGAGGAAGUGCGUGAUGAAGGCCCGAGACAUCGGGUAAAGCCUUGGAGCGUAGUUUAGGAUUAGUGUAGGUUUACUUUUCAGUUCUUUUUUUUUAUCUCAGGUUGUAAUAAUUGAACUGGACACUAUAAUUUUGAAUUUUUUUUGUUUGUUUGAUUGAUUUGUGUAUUUUUUUUGUGUGGUUUAUAUAUUCAUAAUGUGAAAAUUAGUCGAUACGCUCCACCAAGUGACCGUGGUCGAACUACGGGAUCGAGGGGUGUCUAACACCUUCCUCUCGGUCAACAGAAUUCCAUAGCCGGAAUCUCUGUUCGCGGAUCAGUGUUACAGAGUCAAAACCAUUUUUUUGAAAAAAGAUAUCCACGGGUGACUUGGCACACCCGAUUUAUGUCAAGUGGCGACUCUGAGUUUUGAAUGUAAAUAAUCCUUUUCGAAAUCAAUCUUCAUUUUGUCACUUUAAUAAUAAAAACCCUUUCGAACUAAAUUCUAACCUUUUCAAAAAAAAUUUAAAAAAAAGGGUGUGACAACUAACACCCUUGAGUCUAGAUCUAAGUUAAGCUUGAACAUUGUUGUUGGUAUUGUUGUUACGGUUUCAAGAACUUGAAUAUUGUUGAUGUUGUUGUGUGAACCAAAACUUGAAGGUGGUUUGAGCUCGUGUUGGUAUUUUGUUGUGGUUUUUAAGCUUGAAAAAGGUGGUGUUGAUUGUCGGAGGUUCAACGUGAGGCUAAGUUUUCAAACUUCUAUUGAAAGUUCUUGUUGUUCUAGACUAUCUUCAUGUCUAGUUGCAAAAAACCUGUUCAAUAGUGUUGUUUGAUCCAAAAGCCAAGUGGAAAGAAGUGAGGCCUUUGUUAGUCUUUAAAACAAAUCCCAAAAGCCUACCAAAAGGGAAAGGGGAACAAAAAGAUCUACAAAAGACUUAGUACUAAAAGAGGAAAAAAAACACUUUUCUAGGUGUCCAAAAUAGGAAAGGGCCAAAGGUGUCUUGUCCAAAAGGUAUAAGACAAGUCAAACCUUUUUGAAUAUGAAAAAGGGCUCCAAUCUUGAUAUUUUUCUUCCCCAAGGUCGGAAUACACUUCUUCAGGAAUUGAAAAUUGAACCAAAAUUUCAGAGUUGGAAAAAUAAAAACCUUUCAAAAACCGCAACCAAUCCUAGACCGCCACAUCACCUAUUUUUGUACAAUACCGAAACUUAGGGCUCAAAAUCUUGGAUUCUUAGUUUCUUAUUUUUGAUUCUUAGUUUCAUUUUUUUAUUCUUAUACUUAUUGGCAACUAGUAAAUAUCUACUAACUUGUAAAUUAAUUUUUGAAUAUGUUUCUUUCGUGUCUUCGUUAUUUGUGUGCUUUUCUCGUUUGUAACUGUAGUAACUUCUUUAUUUCAAGUUCAUAAGUGAACUUUGUUUUGUGUCUUGAGUCAAUUAAAACAAGAAUUCAUUCUGACCGCCAAGUAGGAUUGACAUCUUAUUGACUAUCGGAGUAUUAAGCAACUUUCAAUAUUUGCCGCUCCAAUUGUGAGAAUCACAAAGGUGGGUGUAUCGAGUGUUGGUAAGGAGCUUUUUGUUUUCUUUUGUUUGUUAUUGUCUUUUUUUUUUGGUUAGGUACCAUGGAUGCACAUAAUUUCAAGGCCACGUGUGAUCGCAUCCAUGACGAUCUUGAAGAUAUGAAACAACACAUUGAAAUGAUACGUCAAUUGUUAUCCAAACUCUUCCCUCAAAAUCCAAUUGUCCAAACAACUUGCGAUAAGAGCUUUCUGAAGGAAGUUGCUACCCAAUCUUGUGAUGGACUUUCACACCGAGGUAAAGUCGAACAUACUCAUGAACGUCAAGGUAAAAUAGCUAGCCCUUACAAUUUUGUGUAUGUGAAUGAUAAUUGUGUGGCUAGUAGUCUAUUGAGUGUGAGUUAUAGCUUGCCUAUAUGUGAGUCUAUUGUUUCUUUGUCACUUGAUGAUGAUGUACUUGUUGUGAGUGUGGAUACACUAGUUGAUCCUAUUGAUGACCGAAUUGACUCUUCUUAUAAGAUCGAUUUAUGUCCACCUAGUGUUGAAAUCAUUGUGUUGAAUGAAAGUACACCGUCUUGUGAAAUUUAUGGUGAAUCAACUUUUGUGUGAAAAUUGUCUACCACUUAAGGAUGUGUGUGAUGUGAUUAAUGAAUCGUGAUAAUGUUGAAAAUAUUGAUCAAAGGAAUAGGAGUGAACCCGAGAGCUAUUCUUGGGAUAAUCUUGCACUUGAAAUCUCUUUGAAACUUGAUAUUAAUCUUUUAGAGAGUGAUGAACGUGUUUGUUCCGAAUCUGUCCGUGAAAUAAAUCAUACUCUCUAAAAGUAUAAUGUCUUGUUUGAAGAUAAUAUAACCACUCCUAAUAAACCUAGUGGUGGAAAUGAUGGUAUACCUUGCCUUAGAAGCUAUAGUCGAUAUGUUAAUCCACUAUGGUGUGACAACAUUCCUCCUAGAAAGAUAAGAGUGCUCUUAAGGGUAAGGAAUGUGUGGUUUUAAAAACUACUUCUCCUUCUACUUUAUGUGACUUUAUUAUUGAGAGUACUCGUAAUGAUGAUUGUGAAAUUAAUAGUAAGUACACACAUGAGGGCGCCUUAGUAGAAAUCAACUUGAGUGAUACCUUUCUCUACUUUCUAGUUGCUCUAGAUAAUAUGUAUGCUAUUGUAGAGAGUAUGUCGUUUAUUUUGGGUGAAGACCACGAAAAAGGAGAGUGUUAUUUAAACCCGUAUCUAUAAUCACUCUUCCGUUUGACCCCGAUGUCAAAUAUAGAAUUGGUGAUGAUGAUGCACCCAACUUGUUGAUUAGUUUACAUAACAAGCAAAGUAUAUCUUUAGUAUAGAGCUUAGAAAAAUCAAUAUUAUUCUUUACUUAAAAAGAAUGAAUCUUGAAGUGAAUUGAUUACCUUAACAAUCACCUAAGAGUGUGAUUUUAAUUAUUACAUUCAUUAGGAGUUAAUAUUGAAAUAUACUUAAUUCUUAAUUUUGUAAUAAUAUUGAUCUCACUAUCUAUUCUUUCAUUAUUUUGUAAAUUCAUGUGUUUUUUGUGUUUGUCAUCUUGUUGUUCUUCUCACAUUUUGUGGAUUGUUUUGAUAUCUUGAUGGACUGAUUUAUAUCACCUUGGAAGCAAACUCAGGAUUUAAAGUCUCCGAGUGAUUGAAACGAUAAAUUUACUUAACACCUUAAAGACUCCGAAUUCUGAAUUCGGUUCUGGAUCCAAAGGUAUAGUAGCCAUGAUAUUUUUUUCAAAAGAACAGAAGUAAACGGAUCCAACUCCCCAUCAUUUCCUUUCUCUCCCUUUACUGUUUGAAUUAGUGACAUAGGAUCCGAAGUAAACAAGCUACAUCCAACAGUAUUUUCUACAUUACUAAAAAUAAACCUCACAAUACUUGUUAUUAAUUUUUAUUUGCUCUAAUUAGAUUAAACGUGACAACCCUCAAUAAAUCUCUUAUCAAUAUUUAACAAUUUAAAAAUAACACACACAACCUACAUGGAAUAAAUAAAAAAAGAAAAUUGGACAGAAUGCCGAAAGAUUCUUUUCUCAAUUUGGUGAGUUAUACUCACUAAUUUUCUUAUUUGAUUCUCCAUUUUACUUAUUUUUUUAGUAAUUAAGAUAAAACAAAUUUUUUUCAUAUUUUACUUUUGUAGGAUAUUAUUAAUUAUUUUUCUUAAUUAAGAUGAAGAAAAUAUUAGAUUUCUUUUGAGUAAUGUCUGCUCCAAAUUAUCAUUUUUUUUUAUAAGAUUCCUCUCAAAUUAUGUCCGAUCCUAAUUAUCCAGGAAACAAAAGUCAUUUCUGCCUGAAGAGGCAACACACAAACAGAAUACCAGAAGCAUUACACUGCAUUAAACACCAACCAAACAAUAUCAUGCCCAUACAAUUACCCCAAAUUACCUUUUCAUAAUACUUGCAAAAACUUGAAAAACAUAACAAAAAAGCAUAAAGAGCAAGACACGAGUACUUCUAGAUAGAUCCCUACCAUUUUAUUUGUACUAACAUAUAAUUCCACUAACCAUCAAACAUAUCCAGAAAACAGAGCAACAUGUUUAACAUUUCAAGCAACUUUAACCUCAUCCAGAAAACAGAGCAACAUGUUUAACAUUUCAAGCAACUUUAACCUCAUCCAGAAAACAGAGCAACAUGUUUAACAUUUCAAGCAACUUUAACCUCAUCCAGAAAACAGAGCAACAUGUUUAACAUUUCAAGCAACUUUAACCUCAAUUGUUUUGGGCUUCUUUGGUUCAGGAGGCGGCAACUUCUGAACAGUGACGGUUAACACCCCAUCCUGACAAACAGCAGAAAUUGCACCAGUAUUAGCAUUCUCUGGCAGAGUAAACUUCCUCAUGAAUUUCCCAACCCUUCUCUCCAUUCUGAUAUACUUUGCACCUUCUUUCUCUUCUUCCCUCUUCC
This 5474-nucleotide long non-coding RNA is filed under the name Capsicum annuum. Its description in RNAcentral is "long non-coding RNA (CANN_LNC004151)". The record is from RNAcentral. Lineage: Eukaryota; Viridiplantae; Streptophyta; Magnoliopsida; Solanales; Solanaceae.